CGGAGUUCAGUCUUCCCAGGCCCACCACGCUUCGCCGUCGGCUUCGCAUGGCACCGCCAGGCAGAACGACGAGGCGAAGCGCGUCCGGCAUAGCCCGAAGGGCGACGCCGGACAGAAAGAGCGCUUCGUCUUCUGGUUACGGGGCCAUAGCUCAGCUGGGAGAGCGCGUGCUUUGCAAGCAUGAGGUCGUCGGUUCGAUCCCGUCUGGCUCCACCAGAUGGUUUGAUCACCGAGAUCUUGACCGUCGUCCGCGAAACAUCACUUCGCAUCCUGCUAGUCUGGAUAGACAGCAAGUUGCGUGUUUUCUGACAUCGUAAAGAGGAGAUCGAUCCGAGUUGGAUCGUGCAACAUAUCGUUGCGCGAGCCUUCAUUAUCUCCGGAUCAUUUCGGCGCUCGCUUCCAGCCGUGAGGUUGGAUGCGGGUUGUAAAUGAUCCUUUUAGCGAAGCUUGACCGCCUCGCUAUCGGAACGAUCUUACGAAGCAAGCUGGUCUUUCUAGUCAAUGUCCGGCUGUACGUAGCAUUCAUCGAGGGUGCGCGCCCGAGAUUUCGGUCUCUUGGCAAUCGUACAGACAACAUUCUGCCGAGUGUGUGGACAUUGAUAAUGAGAGCAAUCAAGUGCCUUAAGGGUGUUCGGUGGAUGCCUUGGCGCUGAGAGGCGAUGAAGGACGUGCUACGCUGCGAUAAGCCGUGGGGAGCUGCGAAGAAGCUUUGAUCCGCGGAUUUCCGAUGGGAAAA
This 736-nucleotide unclassified non-coding RNA is filed under the name Bradyrhizobium sp. Worou12c/Worou1S1. RNAcentral's name for it is "partial 16S-23S ribosomal RNA intergenic space". The stretch from base 611 to 736 matches the Rfam family "Bacterial large subunit ribosomal RNA", at positions 1 to 126 of the family's 2925-position model. Lineage: Bacteria; Pseudomonadati; Pseudomonadota; Alphaproteobacteria; Hyphomicrobiales; Nitrobacteraceae. The record is from RNAcentral.